This 498-nucleotide ribosomal RNA is filed under the name uncultured bacterium. RNAcentral describes it as "partial 16S ribosomal RNA". It matches the Rfam family "Bacterial small subunit ribosomal RNA", at positions 30 to 523 of the family's 1533-position model. The record is from RNAcentral.
AUUGAACGCUGGCGGCAUGCCUUACACAUGCAAGUCGAACGGUAACAGGUCUUCGGAUGCUGACGAGUGGCGAACGGGUGAGUAAUACAUCGGAACGUGCCUAGUAGUGGGGGAUAACUACUCGAAAGAGUGGCUAAUACCGCAUGAGAUCUACGGAUGAAAGCAGGGGAUCGCAAGACCUUGUGCUACUAGAGCGGCCGAUGGCAGAUUAGGUAGUUGGUGGGAUAAAAUCUUACCAAGCCGACGAUCUGUAGCUGGUCUGAGAGGACGAUCAGCCACACUUGGACUGAGAAACGGCCCAGACUCCUACGGGAGGCAGCAGUGGGGAAUUUUGGACAAUGGGCGCAAGCCUGAUCCAGCAAUGCCGCGUGCAGGAUGAAGGCCUUCGGGUCGUAAACUGCUUUUGUACGGAACGAAAAGCCCCGGGUUAAUACCCUGGGGUCAUGACGGUACCGUAAGAAUAAGCACCGGCUAACUACGUGCCAGCCGCCGCCGUAA